UAGGGAAUCUUCGGCAAUGGACGAAAGUCUGACCGAGCAACGCCGCGUGAGUGAAGAAGGUUUUCGGAUCGUAAAACUCUGUUGUUAGAGAAGAACAAGGACGUUAGUAACUGAACGUCCCCUGACGGUAUCUAACCAGAAAGCCACGGCUAACUACGUGCCAGCAGCCGCGGUAAUACGUAGGUGGCAAGCGUUGUCCGGAUUUAUUGGGCGUAAAGCGAGCGCAGGCGGUUUCUUAAGUCUGAUGUGAAAGCCCCCGGCUCAACCGGGGAGGGUCCUUGGCAACUGGGAGACUUGAGUGCAGAAGAGGAGAGUGGAAUUCCAUGUGUAGCGGUGAAAUGCGUAGAUAUAUGGAGGAACACCAGUGGCGAAGGCGGCUCUCUGGUCUGUAACUGACGCUGAGGCUCGAAAGCGUGGGGAGCAAACAGG
This 429-nucleotide ribosomal RNA is filed under the name Gemmatimonadota bacterium. RNAcentral's name for it is "Gemmatimonadetes bacterium partial 16S ribosomal RNA". It matches the Rfam family "Bacterial small subunit ribosomal RNA", at positions 355 to 776 of the family's 1533-position model. Lineage: Bacteria; Pseudomonadati; Gemmatimonadota. The record is from RNAcentral.